RNAcentral lists this ribosomal RNA (401 nucleotides) under uncultured bacterium. Its description in RNAcentral is "bacterial SSU rRNA". It matches the Rfam family "Bacterial small subunit ribosomal RNA", at positions 28 to 426 of the family's 1533-position model. The record is from RNAcentral.
GACGAACGCUGGCGGCGUGCUUAAUACAUGCAAGUCAACUGAACUUGAGGUAGCAAUAUCACAAGAGAGGUGGCGCACGGGUGAGUAACACGUAGGUAAUCUGCCUUUAGGUCUGACAUAAUUCCGCGAAAGCGGGACUAAUAUCAGAUGAUGCAGCGGCUCGACAUCGAGACAGUUGUUAAACCUUCGGGGCCUAAAGAUGAGCCUGCGUCUGAUUAGGUAGUUGGCGGAGUAAAAGCCCACCAAGCCUGCGAUCAGUAGCUGGUCUGAGAGGAUGAUCAGCCACACUGGAACUGAGACACGGUCCAGACUCCUACGGGAGGCAGCAGUAAGGAAUAUUGCUCAAUGGCCGAAAGGCUGAAGCAGCAACGCCGCGUGGAGGAUGAAAUACUUUUGUAUGU